This 220-nucleotide ribosomal RNA is filed under the name uncultured bacterium. RNAcentral describes it as "partial 16S ribosomal RNA". It matches the Rfam family "Bacterial small subunit ribosomal RNA", at positions 130 to 334 of the family's 1533-position model. The record is from RNAcentral.
CCUAGAGGGGGGACGAACAGUUGGAAACGACUGCUAAUACCGCAUACGAUCUGACCUCGGCAUCGAGGAUGGAUGAAAGGUGGCCUCUAUUUAUAAGCUAUCACUGAAGGAGGGGAUUGCGUCUGAUUAGCUAGUUGGAGGGGUAACGGCCCACCAAGGCGAUGAUCAGUAGCCGGUCUGAGAGGAUGAACGGCCACAUUGGGACUGAGACACGGCCCAG